GAAAUCAGACAUGGUUAUUACAAGGAGGUAACAUAGAGCCACCCUUUUUGUUGGUCACACUGAAUAUUUAAUACAUCAUAUUUUCACAAUCAUGUUCAUAUUCAGGUGUACAUCAAACAUAAACUGAACCAAAAAAAAAAGAAGGUAAAGAAAAUACAACCAGAGAAGGACUACCUAUAUUUCCAUGAUCAUGGAUGUGUCAAAAGGACUCUCAUUUCCUGACUGUAACUAAAAGCUCUUUCUCCUUUCUCCAUCCUCAUGCCAAUAGAUGGUCACUUUCUAAUCUUGUGAAUUUCAUGUGGCAAAAUCAUGGGAAGAAAACUAAUAUACUGCCCCCAUUAUAUUAAGUUAGAUCAAAUGGAUAUAGUACACCCUAAUUCCUUAGCAGCCAUAUCAAGAAACUGUGUACACAUUCCAUUUUCAAUUCGGCUGUUAGCUUCCCAAGUCAAACACUUCUCAAUAUCCCUUUGCCAGUUAAUAGUGCCAAUGUUUAAGUACUUAUAAGCAGGACCAUGGAUACCAUUUACAUCAGCUCGAUUAGCUCUAGUUUUUAUUGAACCAGUCUGCAUAAUGGCACGGAGAAGUGAUAUGCUGAGAGCACGUACCAGAGCACUUGGAUGAGAAAUACAACGAACUGUGGCCGGUAAGCGGCACUUCAACAAGUUUGACAGACCAUCAACGAUUACUGAUCCAGAUUCUCCCCACUCAAGCACUGGUUGUACAGCUCUAGCUGUCACUUCCAGGAGCUCCAGCUGUGGUAAGGUGCAUGCUUCU
This 774-nucleotide unclassified non-coding RNA is filed under the name Hevea brasiliensis (rubber tree). The record is from RNAcentral. Lineage: Eukaryota; Viridiplantae; Streptophyta; Magnoliopsida; Malpighiales; Euphorbiaceae.